GUAGGGAUAUUUUAAAAAAUAUGGGGUAACAGGACUUCGAAUCCGUAGGCCGGGGGUUCGAAUCCCUCCGGGCGUACCA
Molecule: transfer RNA, 79 nt
Filed under: Desulfonema limicola
Lineage: Bacteria; Pseudomonadati; Thermodesulfobacteriota; Desulfobacteria; Desulfobacterales; Desulfococcaceae
Description: tRNA-Arg
Source: RNAcentral